GCUCAAACGGGCUCAAAUUCAGAAGCUACCAUUGCUCCUCACUCCCACCCCCAGGACGCUGAUUGUUCUGUGCAGGUAGAAGGUAGGUGGUGAGUCUGAGAAAGGGGCCAGAAAGACUCCCCAGCAACUGCUGGCAAAGGGUGAAGGGCACGUUCCCACAGGAUGCAAGCCAGGGGAGAUGGGCACUCAGUUUAGACGUUCCUACAGCAGGGUCAGCAAGACAAGCAGGUUGCGGCAGGGGUCUGUGCACUGCUGUGUAAAUGUAGGGGGCAUCAGGAGGUAGACAGCAGCUGAUAACCAGUGUCUCAAGAGCCUUCCUAGGGCAGAAAGACCAGGGGAGAGGUGUGCAUCACCCUUGGAGUUAAGGGACAGUUGUCUGUUAGGUGUUCCUUCCUGGAGAUGGCUGAAAAGCCAGUCCAGUCUGCAGGGACCAGGCCACCACCCACCUGAUGUGGGAGCAUUUCCCCCAAUCCCUGCUGGGCUGCUGAAUCUGGGGGACAUAGGGAAGCUGAGGCUGGCGUUCUGAGUGGUGACAGAGCUGAGCCACAGGGGAUGUCUGAGGUCAGCCCUGAGCAGAGUGGAGUAGGGACUCAGGGUGGGUCAGGGAACUGGAAAGCGGGCACUGUGCACGCAGCCCUUGAGAGGAGCCAGGGUGGGGAUCCCCCACCGUGUGCAGAAGGCAGCAGCCUUGGAAGCAGGGUGCGCUCCGUGGUGUGCUCGCUCGAUACCAGAAAAUGACUCUAAAAACUAAAGAGUGUUUGAGUUUCAUUCACACAAAACAUGGACGUCAUCUGUGAGGCUCUGUCCCAGAGAGACCGGGCCAUCCUCAUGUCUGUUAUUGGGAUGUAAAUAAACAAAAGUACAAAUCAAACAAACUGCAAAUUA
Molecule: non-coding RNA, 885 nt
Filed under: Pongo abelii (Sumatran orangutan)
Lineage: Eukaryota; Metazoa; Chordata; Mammalia; Primates; Hominidae
Source: RNAcentral